UGCAUGUCUAAGCACAAGCCGAAUACGGUGAAGCCGCGAAUGGCUCAUUACAACAGCCUUUGUUUAUUUGAUCUUGAAAAUCUACUUGGAUAACUGUGGUAAUUCUAGAGCUAAUACACGCUUAUAAACUCUAGCCGUCAGGCAAGGGUGCAUUUAUUAGUACAAAACCAAUCGGGGCUUCGGUCCCGUAUCUUGGUGAAUCUGAAUAACUCAGCCGAUCGCAUGGUCCUCGUACCGGCGACGUAUCUUUCAAGUGUCUGCCCUAUCAACUUUCGAUGGUAGUUUAUAUGACUACCAUGGUUUUAACGGGUAACGGAGAAUAAGGGUUCGACUCCGGAGAAGCAGCCUGAGAAACGGCUACUA
Molecule: ribosomal RNA, 363 nt
Filed under: Desmoscolecidae sp. 98_6-1000_T
Lineage: Eukaryota; Metazoa; Nematoda; Chromadorea; Desmoscolecida; Desmoscolecidae
Description: bacterial SSU rRNA
Rfam family: Eukaryotic small subunit ribosomal RNA
Source: RNAcentral